This 74-nucleotide transfer RNA is filed under the name Gemmatimonadota bacterium. Its description in RNAcentral is "Gemmatimonadetes bacterium tRNA-Val". It matches the Rfam family "tRNA". From Rfam's summary of the family: Transfer RNA (tRNA) molecules are approximately 80 nucleotides in length. Their secondary structure includes four short double-helical elements and three loops (D, anti-codon, and T loops). Further hydrogen bonds mediate the characteristic L-shaped molecular structure. tRNAs have two regions of fundamental functional importance: the anti-codon, which is responsible for specific mRNA codon recognition, and the 3' end, to which the tRNAs corresponding amino acid is attached (by aminoacyl-tRNA synthetases). tRNAs cope with the degeneracy of the genetic code in two manners: having more than one tRNA (with a specific anti-codon) for a particular amino acid; and 'wobble' base-pairing, i.e. permitting non-standard base-pairing at the 3rd anti-codon position. RNAcentral also lists the same sequence under 5 other names. Lineage: Bacteria; Pseudomonadati; Gemmatimonadota. The record is from RNAcentral.
GGGGGCGUAGCUCAGCUGGCUAGAGCGCCACGUUGACAUCGUGGAGGUCACAGGUUCAAGUCCUGUCGCCCCCA